CCUACGGGCGGCAGCAGUGGGGAAUAUUGGACAAUGGGCGAAAGCCUGAUCCAGCCAUGCCGCGUGUGUGAAGAAGGCCUUCGGGUUGUAAAGCACUUUCAGUGGGGAAGAAAGCCUUGGGGCUAAUACCCUCGAGGAAGGACAUCACCCACAGAAGAAGCACCGGCUACACUCCGUGCCAGCAGCCGCGGUAAUACGGAGGGUGCGAGCGUUAAUCGGAAUUACUGGGCGUAAAGCGCGCGUAGGCGGUCUGAUAAGCCGGUUGUGAAAGCCCCGGGCUCAACCUGGGAACGGCAUCCGGAACUGUCAGGCUAGAGUGCAGGAGAGGAAGGUAGAAUUCCCGGUGUAGCGGUGAAAUGCGUAGAGAUCGGGAGGAAUACCAGUGGCGAAGGCGGCCUUCUGGACUGACACUGACGCUGAGGUGCGAAAGCGUGGGUAGCAAACAGGAUUAGAUACCCCAGUAGUC
Molecule: ribosomal RNA, 466 nt
Filed under: Vreelandella stevensii
Lineage: Bacteria; Pseudomonadati; Pseudomonadota; Gammaproteobacteria; Oceanospirillales; Halomonadaceae
Description: partial 16S ribosomal RNA
Rfam family: Bacterial small subunit ribosomal RNA
Source: RNAcentral